UGAGGAAUAUUGGUCAAUGGGCGGGAGCCUGAACCAGCCAAGCCGCGUGAGGGAAGAAGGCCCUAUGGGUCGUAAACCUCUUUUGUCAGGGAACAAAAGCGAGUAUGUAUACUGGUCUGAGUGUACCUGAAGAAAAAGCAUCGGCUAACUCCGUGCCAGCAGCCGCGGUAAUACGGAGGAUGCGAGCGUUAUCCGGAUUUAUUGGGGUUUCAAAGGGUUGCGUAGGCGGCGGUGCAAGUCAGCGGUAAAAUGCCCGGGGCUCAACCCCGGCGAGCCGUUGAAACUGCAGUGCUAGAGAAGGCGAGAGGUACGCGGAAUGCGCAGUGUAGCGGUGAAAUGCUUAGAUAUUGCGCAGAACUCCGAUUGCGAAGGCAGCGUACUGGCGCCUGACUGACGCUGAGGCACGAAAGCGUGGGGAUCGAACAGGAUUAGAUACC
RNAcentral lists this ribosomal RNA (437 nucleotides) under uncultured bacterium. RNAcentral describes it as "bacterial SSU rRNA". It matches the Rfam family "Bacterial small subunit ribosomal RNA", at positions 355 to 786 of the family's 1533-position model. The record is from RNAcentral.